UACAGAGGGUGCGAGCGUUAAUCGGAAUUACUGGGCGUAAAGCGCGCGUAGGCGGCUUUGCAAGUCGGAUGUGAAAUCCCCAGGCUUAACCUGGGAACUGCAUCCGAUACUGGAUGGCUUGAAUCCGGGAGAGGGAUGCGGAAUUCCAGGUGUAGCGGUGAAAUGCGUAGAUAUCUGGAGGAACACCGGUGGCGAAGGCGGCAUCCUGGACCGGCAUUGACGCUGAGGAGCGAAAGCCAGGGGAGCAAAGCGGGG
RNAcentral lists this ribosomal RNA (255 nucleotides) under uncultured bacterium. RNAcentral describes it as "partial 16S ribosomal RNA". It matches the Rfam family "Bacterial small subunit ribosomal RNA", at positions 524 to 778 of the family's 1533-position model. The record is from RNAcentral.